GAUGAACGCUGGCGGCGUGCUUAACACAUGCAAGUCGAACGAUGAAGCCCAGCUUGCUGGGUGGAUUAGUGGCGAACGGGUGAGUAACACGUGAGUAACCUGCCCUUAACUCUGGGAUAAGCCUGGGAAACUGGGUCUAAUACCGGAUAGGAGCGCCUACCGCAUGGUGGGUGUUGGAAAGAUUUAUCGGUUUUGGAUGGACUCGCGGCCUAUCAGCUUGUUGGUGAGGUAAUGGCUCACCAAGGCGACGACGGGUAGCCGGCCUGAGAGGGUGACCGGCCACACUGGGACUGAGACACGGCCCAGACUCCUACGGGAGGCAGCAGUGGGGAAUAUUGCACAAUGGGCGAAAGCCUGAUGCAGCGACGCCGCGUGAGGGAUGACGGCCUUCGGGUUGUAAACCUCUUUCAGUAGGGAAGAAGCGAAAGUGACGGUACCUGCAGAAGAAGCACUGGCUAACUACGUG
Molecule: ribosomal RNA, 466 nt
Filed under: uncultured bacterium
Lineage: Bacteria
Description: partial 16S ribosomal RNA
Rfam family: Bacterial small subunit ribosomal RNA
Source: RNAcentral